Rhineura floridana is the source of this 219-nucleotide long non-coding RNA. RefSeq lists it as uncharacterized. Lineage: Eukaryota; Metazoa; Chordata; Lepidosauria; Squamata; Rhineuridae. The record is from RefSeq and is a predicted model, not a curated record. The transcript is spliced from 3 exons.
ACGGGAUCUGGCUGCCAGCAGCAUUGAACGGAUGCUGGCGUACGCCAUCAAGUCGCCCAACCUGACCCUGGAUUCCAUCGAAGACGCCCUCCCUCGGGAGGAGUCCCCGCUCUGCCCCCCAAAGAGAGAAGAGGAGCUCCAGGUAGAGGACUUGGAAUGAGACAGUGUGAGAGAGGAGUCCUAAGAGGGGAGUUCCUCUUCUCGAACCCGGAUCCAGGC